GGGGAUGAUUUUGGUUUCGACCGGAAGCAUGGAUUCCUAGGAGCAUGUCGAGGUGCGGGGCCUCGUAAAAAAUUCGCAUUAAAAUAGUCGCAAACGACGAAACCUACGCUUUGGCAGCUUAAUAACCUGCGCAUAGCCCUCAGUUCUAAGCCUUUCUAGUGACGCUUAGUCUUACUGGGGUCGGUUUUCACUAGAUCGAACGGAAGCCCCGUCUGAGGUGGAAGUUUUAAAGAUUUUUUCAGACUGGACAUUAUGUGGCGUGGCGGUCCGCAGCAGGUGUUGAGAUCAAUGAUUGCCUAAACAUGUAGCGCCGAAGAUGAAGUCUUUUGGGACGAGGGUUCGAGUCCCUCCAUCUCCACCA
RNAcentral lists this transfer-messenger RNA (361 nucleotides) under Succinivibrionaceae. RNAcentral's name for it is "Succinivibrio sp905201175 Standard tmRNA". It matches the Rfam family "transfer-messenger RNA". Rfam says of the family: Bacterial tmRNA, also known as 10Sa RNA or SsrA, is named for its dual tRNA and mRNA-like properties. Its role is to liberate the mRNA from a stalled ribosome. To accomplish this part of the tmRNA is used as a reading frame that ends in a translation stop signal. The record is from RNAcentral. RNAcentral also lists the same sequence under 1 other name. Lineage: Bacteria; Pseudomonadati; Pseudomonadota; Gammaproteobacteria; Aeromonadales.